ACCUCAUUCAUUUCUACCGGUCUCUAGUAGUGCAGCUUCGGCUGGUGUCAUCGCUGUCCUUCCUCCGCUGCCGCCCCCGCAAGGCUUCGCCGUCAUCGAGGCCAUUUCCAGCGACUCGUCGCACGCUUUUCUAUAUACUUCGUUCCCCGCCAACCGCAACCAUUGACGCCAUGUCGGGUUAUUCGAGUGACCGAGACCGCGGCCGGGACCGAGGGUUUGGUGCACCUCGAUUUGGAGGAAGUAGGGCAGGGCCCUUAUCUGGAAAGAAGUUUGGAAACCCUGGGGAGAAAUUAGUUAAAAAGAAGUGGAAUCUUGAUGAGCUGCCUAAAUUUGAGAAGAAUUUUUAUCAAGAGCACCCUGAUUUGGCUAGGCGCACAGCAGUGAGUAAAUUCAUGUGGCUUCAUCAGGCUGUAACUCGAUCAUGGAUUCUAGUAAAUGAAAUUCUGACAGGUGUUUUGCAAAUAACUCAAUUUUGGUAGAGUUACAUGUUCUGACUUCAUAAUUGGGAAAGGUGUGACUCACUUUUGGAUACAGGUGGCUUUGGGAUUUUGUUUUACUUAAAUUAGGUUGAGUAUAACAAUAAAUUUUUUUUUUCAUAAUAGGGUGUUCAUAGGUGGGUCCAGAUUAAAAUGAAGGCUGCUUUAAACUAGUUACUAAAUUAUGAAGUUAGGGGCUUAUCAAUUACGUAUUUAGCUAGGGGUGG
Molecule: small RNA, 703 nt
Filed under: Pan troglodytes (chimpanzee)
Lineage: Eukaryota; Metazoa; Chordata; Mammalia; Primates; Hominidae
Description: retained intron
Source: RNAcentral